This 564-nucleotide ribosomal RNA is filed under the name uncultured Clostridiaceae bacterium. RNAcentral describes it as "bacterial SSU rRNA". It matches the Rfam family "Bacterial small subunit ribosomal RNA", at positions 336 to 916 of the family's 1533-position model. The record is from RNAcentral. Lineage: Bacteria; Bacillati; Bacillota; Clostridia; Eubacteriales; Clostridiaceae.
CUCCUACGGGAGGCAGCAGUGGGGAAUAUYGCACAAUGGGCGAAAGCCYGAUGCAGCAACGCCGCGUGAGUGAUGAAGGCCUUCGGGUYGUAAAGCUCYGUCUUYGGGGACGAUAAUGACGGUACCCAAGGAGGAAGCCACGGCUAACKRSGKGSCAGCAGCCGCGGUAAUACGUAGGUGGCAAGCGUUGUCCGGAUUUACUGGGCGUAAAGGGUGCGUAGGCGGACCUUUAAGUGAGAUGUGAAAUCCCCGAGCUUAACUUGGGGGCUGCAUUUCAAACUGGAGGUCUAGAGUGCAGGAGAGGAGAGUGGAAUUCCUAGUGUAGCGGUGAAAUGCGUAGAGAUUAGGAAGAACACCAGUGGCGAAGGCGACUCUCUGGACUGUAACUGACGCUGAGGCACGAAAGCGUGGGGAGCAAACAGGAUUAGAUACCCUGGUAGUCCACGCCGUAAACGAUGGGCACUAGGUGUAGGAGGUAUUAACCCCUUCUGUGCCGAAGCUAACGCAUUAAGUGCCCCGCCUGGGGAGUACGGCCGCAAGGCUAAAACUCAAAUGAAUUGACGG